AUUGAACGCUGGCGGCAGGCCUAACACAUGCAAGUCGAACGAGUGGCGGACGGGUGAGUAAUGUCUGGGAAACUGCCUGAUGGAGGGGGAUAACUACUGGAAACGGUAGCUAAUACCGCAUACCAUCAGAUGUGCCCAUAUGGGAUUAGCUAGUUGGUGGGGUAACGGCUCACCAAGGCGACGAUCCCUAGCUGGUCUGAGCGGAUGACCAGCCAAACUGGAACGGAGAAACGGCCCAGACUCCUACGGGAGGCAGCAGUGGUGAAUAUUGCACAAUGGGCGCAAGCCUGAUGCAGCCAUGCCGCGGGUAUGAAGAAGGCCUUAGGGUUGUAAAGUACGUUCAGCGGGGAGGCGUUACCCGCAGAAGAAGCACCGGCUAACUCCGUGCCAGCAGCCGCGGGAAUUC
Molecule: ribosomal RNA, 406 nt
Filed under: uncultured bacterium
Lineage: Bacteria
Description: partial 16S ribosomal RNA
Rfam family: Bacterial small subunit ribosomal RNA
Source: RNAcentral